RNAcentral lists this ribosomal RNA (239 nucleotides) under uncultured bacterium. RNAcentral's name for it is "partial 16S ribosomal RNA". It matches the Rfam family "Bacterial small subunit ribosomal RNA", at positions 118 to 353 of the family's 1533-position model. The record is from RNAcentral.
UGAGCAAUCUGCCCUUCUCGUCGGAAUAAGCGUUGGAAACGACGUCUAAUGCCGAAUACGACCUCCUUUCGCAUGAUCGGAGGUGGAAAGCUCCGGCGGAGAAGGAUGAGCUCGCGGCCUAUCAGCUAGUUGGUGUGGGUAAUGGCCCACCAAGGCGACGACGGGUAGCCGGCCUGAGAGGGUGACCGGCCACACGUGGGACUGAGACACGGCCCAGACCUCCGUACGGGGAGGCAGCG